RNAcentral lists this ribosomal RNA (507 nucleotides) under uncultured bacterium. RNAcentral's name for it is "bacterial SSU rRNA". It matches the Rfam family "Bacterial small subunit ribosomal RNA", at positions 41 to 507 of the family's 1533-position model. The record is from RNAcentral.
GGCGUGCCUAAUACAUGCAAGUCGAACGCACUCUCGUUUAGAUUGAAGGAGCUUGCUCCUGAUUGAUAAACAUUUGAGUGAGUGGCGGACGGGUGAGUAACACGUGGGUAACCUGCCCUAAAGUGGGGGAUAACAUUUGGAAACAGAUGCUAAUACCGCAUAAAACCUAACACCGCAUGGUGUAGGGUUGAAAGAUGGUUUCGGCUAUCACUUUUGGAUGGACCCGCGGUGCAUUAGUUGGUUGGUGAGGUAAAGGCUCACCAAGACCGUGAUGCAUAGCCGACCUGAGAGGGUAAUCGGCCACACUGGGACUGAGACACGGCCCAGACUCCUACGGGAGGCAGCAGUAGGGAAUCUUCCACAAUGGACGAAAGUCUGAUGGAGCAACGCCGCGUGAGUGAAGAAGGUUUUCGGAUCGUAAAACUCUGUUGUUGGAGAAGAAUGUAUCUGAUAGUAACUGAUCAGGUAGUGACGGUAUCCAACCAGAAAGCCACGGCUAACUACGUG